GAGGGUGUAGCUCAGUGGUAGAGUGUGUGCUUAGCAUGCAGGAGGCCCUGGGUUCAAUUCCCAGUACUUCUA
Molecule: transfer RNA, 72 nt
Filed under: Camelus bactrianus (Bactrian camel)
Lineage: Eukaryota; Metazoa; Chordata; Mammalia; Artiodactyla; Camelidae
Also listed under: 2 other names
Rfam family: tRNA
About the family: Transfer RNA (tRNA) molecules are approximately 80 nucleotides in length. Their secondary structure includes four short double-helical elements and three loops (D, anti-codon, and T loops).
Source: Rfam by way of RNAcentral